UCAACUUGAGAGUUUGAUCCUGGCUCAGAACGAACGCUGGCGGCAGGCUUAACACAUGCAAGUCGAGCGCCCCUCCUUCAAGCAAGCUUGAAGGUCCUUUGGCCGAAGGCCAGGAAAGAGGAUCAAGAAAGCCGAGCUUUCUUGAUGGAGGGGAGCGGCAGACGGGUGAGUAACGCGUGGGAAUCUACCUAGCUCUACGGAAUAACCCAGGGAAACUUGGACUAAUACCGUAUACGUCCGAGAGGAGAAAGAUUUAUCGGAGUUAGAUGAGCCCGCGUUGGAUUAGCUAGUUGGUGGGGUAAAGGCCUACCAAGGCGACGAUCCAUAGCUGGUCUGAGAGGAUGAUCAGCCACACUGGGACUGAGACACGGCCCAGACUCCUACGGGAGGCAGCAGUGGGGAAUAUUGGACAAUGGGCGCAAGCCUGAUCCAGCCAUGCCGCGUGAGUGAUGACGGCCUUAGGGUUGUAAAGCUCUUUCAACGGUGAAGAUAAUGACGGUAACCGUAGAAGAAGCCCCGGCUAACUUCGUGCCAGCAGCCGCGGUAAUACGAAGGGGGCUAGCGUUGUUCGGAAUUACUGGGCGUAAAGCGCACGUAGGCGGAUACUUAAGUCAGGGGUGAAAUCCCGGGGCUCAACCCCGGAACUGCCUUUGAUACUGGGUAUCUAGAGUAUGGUAGAGGUGAGUGGAAUUCCGAGUGUAGAGGUGAAAUUCGUAGAUAUUCGGAGGAACACCAGUGGCGAAGGCGGCUCACUGGACCAU
RNAcentral lists this ribosomal RNA (761 nucleotides) under Salmonella enterica subsp. enterica serovar Newport. RNAcentral describes it as "bacterial SSU rRNA". It matches the Rfam family "Bacterial small subunit ribosomal RNA", at positions 1 to 737 of the family's 1533-position model. The record is from RNAcentral. Lineage: Bacteria; Pseudomonadati; Pseudomonadota; Gammaproteobacteria; Enterobacterales; Enterobacteriaceae.